Molecule: long non-coding RNA, 317 nt
Organism: Syngnathus typhle (broad-nosed pipefish)
Lineage: Eukaryota; Metazoa; Chordata; Actinopteri; Syngnathiformes; Syngnathidae
Exons: 3
Source: RefSeq, a predicted model, not a curated record
UUUAUUAGGCUUUUCUUUCAUUCUCAGACAGCUUCACCUUGACGAAGGCCAGAGUUCCAACAGAAGAACCCCGAGCAUGAUGCUGCCCCACCACUGUAGGGCGGCCAUUUUGCCCCUUCCCGUCGACUAAAGAUGACGUCGCAGUUGCGCAAGGUUCAGGCGCAGUUUUGGGAUCAGCAGCUGUUGCGUUUGGGCCCUCUUGAGCGCUCCCACCCUACUCAUUGCUUUGGGAGGUGAUGAACUGUCAUUCAAAGAUCUGUGCUGCCCUCUGCUGGAUUUCUGCUUCCUUCCGAAUGACCUACAAGUCAGCUGAACAA